This 2031-nucleotide long non-coding RNA is filed under the name Nicotiana tabacum (common tobacco). Its description in RNAcentral is "long non-coding RNA (NTAB_LNC003760)". Lineage: Eukaryota; Viridiplantae; Streptophyta; Magnoliopsida; Solanales; Solanaceae. The record is from RNAcentral.
UAUCUUUGGUCAACAACUUUUUUUCUUUAUAUACAUAGAGAACAUUAGCUUUUCAUACAUUUCGUAAUUCAUAUAAUUUUGAUAAUACAAUAUCAUACCCUACAAAGGAAAUUUGAAUUAAAACAAAAGAGUCACUUAUAUAUUAUUUUUAUAAAUCUUACACCAUCAUUCGAUAAUGGUUCUCAUAGAAUAUAAAUUUUUAUCCUUGUUCAUCUUCAGAACAAGCUGAAUGCUAACUAUAAAUAAAGACCAAUGCCGACUACAAGAACACUGAUUCACAACAGUUCACUUAGUGAGCCUCCGUACAAAGAGCGAGGCAACUGGAAUCUUUAUGGCAACACCCUUUACAUAAGACUGUCCUCUUCUUGACUCUAAUUUUUGCAUAUCAACCUAAACAUAAAUCCAAUAAAGGCAUAAAUUAGAAGUUAAAAAAGAUUAAGUAACAAAAAUAGUUAGCAGGCAACUUCUAUAGAAAUUAUAUGGAAAAUGAUAUCACAUGGAACAUUAGAACCUGUGCAGCUUAAGAACUUCCAUCAUACAAACAAAGAAGAACAAUGAACUUACUUAUCAAAAAUAAAAAAACAAUAAGAAACUUCGAGUCUUCCAGAAACAUAAGCCACAAAUGUAAACAAGUGAUCCAUAAAGUAAGAAAAUGCAAAGGGUGUUUGAACCCACAUGCGUCUGUUCAGUUAAAAUAAAUUCAACACAAAAGAAAAAGUUCUCUUUGUCGUUUUCCUCUUCCUACUCCCUUUAACUAUAAGCAUUACAUUUUAGUUGUAGAGUUUAUAUGAUAUUCUGUUAAAAUUAUUUGCGUAGAUUGAUAUAUUUCACAAGUGAAACACAAGAAUUUUCUUGAUCUCAUUGAUAUUGUGAAGAGAUAACCUUUGACAAGGAUGACGACCCUUGAGUAUGCUCCUAGUGCAAGUCAUUUUGAGCACCUGCACGGUAAUCUUGUUAGUAGUGUAUUUCAGUGCUAAUAGUCAUGCUAGUAUGUUGAUUUAGUGAUAAGUAAUACAAACUACAUAUUUAUUUAUCCCAAUUGAAGGAGAUGAUCCUAUUGACCGGCCUGCAAAGUUUAGAACCACAAUCAACUCGAAUUCACAAACCAUAUUUGGAUAAUGAUCAUGCUACAAAAGUCAUAUUUCUCAUGGAAUUAUAAAUAGUACUAAUAUCCAUAUUCUUACUGAAAAGCAGAAUGUCAUCUCCUUGAGGGAUCCAACAUUGCAAGUCCUUCAUGAAUAAUGAGCUUAUGGUUAUCUAGUGCCACAGUUCCAAGGCUUUGUCCUCUCUAGUGGACAGAACAGAACAGUAAAAGAAUCAUAUUAGAAAUAAGUAAAAGACAAAAUUCACUACCAGAAUAACCAACAACUGAAAUUUAAUAGAAACUGCAAACACAAAGUGACAUAAAAAUAAAAAACAAAGCAGAUACUAAUAUUUUAUCCCCAAAUCGAUCAAUUUCAACACUCCACUACCACUAACAUAAGCAGAGAAAUAUUAAAUUCAUAAAUAAAUCCUACCUACCACUUCACAAACCAAUCAUCAACAACCACAACAAACUUCAAUACAUAAUAAUAAAAGAAAAGGUUACAACCAUUUUAAAGGCGAGAAAUUUAAUCCAGUUAACAUAAUAGAACGGAAAUCACAGGAGAGAAAAAAAUACGUACUCGCGCCUUAAUAAUCUUGAUUAGAAGUUUGAGAAUUAUCAGCAGUAUCUGUCAUGUUUAGAGUUCUAAAUCAAUCUAAGAACAAUCUAGGAAUAAUCAGUAGUAUCUGCUAAUUAAGCACCGACUCUGAAUUUGAUAAAUUGAUCCUAAUGCUAGAAAGGUAUAUGAAAAGAGUCCAAAAGAAGAUGGCAAAAAUUCCUAGAAGAUUGAUGCAAUUUCAUGAGAACCUUACCAAUUUUAUGAAUGCGAGACGACGGCAUCAGUUAUUUGGGUAUGAGAAAAGGGGGAGUUUUGUAGCGUUUUUGAGAUAAAAUAGUAGACGCCCCUAUACUUAAUAUAUUUUAAGUUUAAUAAUUAUAAAUGUAAG